AUUGAACGCUGGCGGCAGGCCUAACACAUGCAAGUCGAACGAGUGGCGGACGGGUGAGUAAUGUCUGGGAAACUGCCUGAUGGAGGGGGAUAACUACUGGAAACGGUAGCUAAUACCGCAUACCAUCGGAUGUGCCCAGAUGGGAUUAGCUAGUAGGUGGGGUAAAGGCUCACCUAGGCGACGAUCCCUAGCUGGUCUGAGAGGAUGAUCAGUCACACUGGGACUGAGACGAGGCCCAGACCCCUACGUGAGGCAGCAGUGGGGAAUAUUGCACAAUGGGCGCAAGCCUGAUGCAGCCAUGCCGCGUGUGUGAAGAAGGGCUUCGGAUUGUAAAGCACUUUAAGUGGGGAGGCGUUACCAGCAGAAUAAGCACCGGCUAACUCCGUGCCAGCAGCCGCGGUAAUAC
Molecule: ribosomal RNA, 406 nt
Filed under: uncultured bacterium
Lineage: Bacteria
Description: partial 16S ribosomal RNA
Rfam family: Bacterial small subunit ribosomal RNA
Source: RNAcentral